RNAcentral lists this long non-coding RNA (234 nucleotides) under Elaeis guineensis (African oil palm). RNAcentral describes it as "long non-coding RNA (EGUI_LNC015890)". The record is from RNAcentral. Lineage: Eukaryota; Viridiplantae; Streptophyta; Magnoliopsida; Arecales; Arecaceae.
UCCGGGCGGAGUCCCUCUUGGAGUCGAAGUCAUGGGCGAAGCCCGGCUCCCGUAGGAAUUCGGGCGGAGUCCCCCUGAGCCCGCAAGGGUCAAUCCUGCUGAGAACUUCGAUCGUGGGUAUUUUAUACCCAACACCAGUCCCCCUACUUUCGAGUUUGAAUUUCGAAUGAAGGAAGUACAGAGAGAUUGGCAUAGCCGAAGUUGUCUCCUCGAAUCCUGUUCACGACCAUCCCC